AGCGAACGCUGGCGGCAGGCCUAACACAUGCAAGUCGAACGAAACUUUCGGGGUUAGUGGCGGACGGGUGGGUAACACGUGGGAACGUGCCUUUAGGUUCGGAAUAACUCAGGGAAACUUGUGCUAAUACCGAAUGUGCCCUUCGGGGGAAAGAUCUAUCGCCGUUAGAGCGGCCCGCGUCUGAUUAGCUAGUUGGUUGAGGUAAUGGCUCUCCAAGGCCACGAUCAGUAGCUGGUCUGAGAGGAUGCUUAGACGCAUUGGAAGUGUGACACGGCCCACAACGCUACGGGGGGGAGGAGUAUGGAGUAUUGGGCGCGGAGGGAAAACCUGACGCAGCCAUGCCGCGUAAAACAUCAGGGUCUUAGGAUACUAAUAUCCUUUGGCCGGGGACGAGAUUGACGGUACCCGGUAAAGAAGCCCCGGCUAACUACGUG
This 434-nucleotide ribosomal RNA is filed under the name uncultured bacterium. RNAcentral's name for it is "partial 16S ribosomal RNA". It matches the Rfam family "Bacterial small subunit ribosomal RNA", at positions 29 to 507 of the family's 1533-position model. The record is from RNAcentral.